AACCCGAGCCGAUCCCUAACUGCCUCCCUCAUUUCCUAUGCCCUAGUCGCGCGACUCCGGCCGCCUGCACACGCCGCCAGCUGCAGAAAUCGGCCGUUUCUUUCUCGCAAGCACCCCCUAUAUCAUCAACCUUCACCACCUUGUUCGAGCAGCCACCUUAGAGGGCUCACCCACCUCGAGAUCCUCCCCUGGCUAUGCCUCCGACCUCAGACGACCCCCUCUGCCAGUCGCCACCGUCUCCGCUCACCAUCGUCCCUGCUUGCCAUCGUCACCACCUAG
Molecule: long non-coding RNA, 279 nt
Filed under: Ananas comosus (pineapple)
Lineage: Eukaryota; Viridiplantae; Streptophyta; Magnoliopsida; Poales; Bromeliaceae
Description: long non-coding RNA (ACOM_LNC017648)
Source: RNAcentral